CACUAGGAGAAGUUUUACUCUUAGCAGUACCUGCCCAGUGCAAAGUUGUAAACGGCCGCCCUAGCGUGAGGGUGCCAAGGUAGCGAAAUUCCUUGCCUUUUAAUUGUAGGCCUGCAUGAAUGGAUUGACGAGGGUCAAACUGUCUCUUGCUUUGUAUGACGAAAUUGGACUGAAGGUGAAGAUACCUUCAUGUGAAAGUUAGACAAGAAGACCCCGUGCAGCUUUUAAAAACUUACUUAUUAAGAGUUAUAAGAUUUUUAGGUGGGGCGCCUAGGAAGUAAAACUUAACCUUCUUAUUUGUUAAAAGUAACUGUCUGGUGUAGACCCGGCAAGUCCGAUCAUGGGAGAAGUUACGCCGGGGAUAACAGGCUUAUCCAUUAGUAGAGCUCGUAUUGGCUAAUGGGAUUGGCACCUCGAUGUUGAAUUAAGGAUGAUAACUCUAAGGCGUAGAGGCUUUGGAAGUGGGUCUGUUCGACCUUUAAUACCUU
RNAcentral lists this ribosomal RNA (488 nucleotides) under Saccostrea sp. KKL-2003. RNAcentral describes it as "partial 16S ribosomal RNA". It matches the Rfam family "Bacterial large subunit ribosomal RNA", at positions 1832 to 2597 of the family's 2925-position model. The record is from RNAcentral. Lineage: Eukaryota; Metazoa; Mollusca; Bivalvia; Ostreida; Ostreidae.